This 217-nucleotide long non-coding RNA is filed under the name Mytilus galloprovincialis (Mediterranean mussel). The record is from RNAcentral. Lineage: Eukaryota; Metazoa; Mollusca; Bivalvia; Mytilida; Mytilidae.
CGAGGCAUCGGAUUUAACGUCCCCAUUCUGACCGGACGUGACUGCGAACUUGAUACAUCCCGCACAGCCAAACGGACGCCCCACUUCGUUUUACUGCCGGUCGGGGAAGACCAAGUGACCAUAUUUCGUUUCCCCAGUCACCCUUGGGGAACUUUAAAUUAGAAACAACAGAAAUCCAUAUAUGUGAUCAAACUGAUCGACAUGUAUCCUCACAACC